Molecule: ribosomal RNA, 407 nt
Filed under: uncultured prokaryote
Also listed under: 1 other name
Description: bacterial SSU rRNA
Rfam family: Bacterial small subunit ribosomal RNA
Source: RNAcentral
UGGGGGAUAUUGCGCAAUGGGGGAAACCCUGACGCAGCAACGCCGCGUGAGCGAUGAAGGUCUUCGGAUCGUAAAGCUCUGUCUUUAGGGACGAAAGAAAUGACGGUACCUAAGGAGGAAGCCACGGCUAACUACGUGCCAGCAGCCGCGGUAAUACGUAGGUGGCGAGCGUUGUCCGGAAUUACUGGGCGUAAAGGGUGCGCAGGCGGUUAUUUAAGUCAGAUGUGAAAUUCCGGGGCUUAACUUCGGAACUGCAUUUGAAACUGGAUGGCUAGAGUGCAGGAGAGGAAAGCGGAAUUCCUAGUGUAGCGGUGAAAUGCGUAGAUAUUAGGAAGAACACCAGUGGCGAAGGCGGCUUUCUGGACUGUAACUGACGCUGAGGCACGAAAGCGUGGGGAGCAAACAGG